This 454-nucleotide ribosomal RNA is filed under the name uncultured bacterium. RNAcentral's name for it is "partial 16S ribosomal RNA". It matches the Rfam family "Bacterial small subunit ribosomal RNA", at positions 28 to 507 of the family's 1533-position model. The record is from RNAcentral.
GAUGAACGCUGACAGAAUGCUUAACACAUGCAAGUCAACUUGAACUUCGGUUUGGGUGGCGGACGGGUGAGUAACGCGUAAAGAACUUGCCUCACAGUUAGGGACAACAUUUGGAAACGAAUGCUAAUACCUGAUAUUGUGAUUUUAGGGCAUCCUAGAAUUAUGAAAGCUAUAUGCGCUGUGAGAGAGCUUUGCGUCCCAUUAGCUAGUUGGAGAGGUAACGGCUCACCAAGGCGAUGAUGGGUAGCCGGCCUGAGAGGGUGAACGGCCACAAGGGGACUGAGACACGGCCCUUACUCCUACGGGAGGCAGCAGUGGGGAAUAUUGGACAAUGGACCAAGAGUCUGAUCCAGCAAUUCUGUGUGCACGAUGAAGUUUUUCGGAAUGUAAAGUGCUUUCAGUUGGGAAGAAAAAAAUGACCAUACCAACAGAAGAAGUGACGGCUAAAUACGUG